AUAUCUCUCUGUACGGGAAGGAUGAGAAGCUUCGACUAAGGUUCGAUUCGAGCGCAGCGAGAAAGCGUUGCCGCAGGCAACGACCCGAAGGGCGAAACGCGCAGCGCUGAGUCAUCCUUCCCCCACCACCA
Molecule: small RNA, 131 nt
Filed under: Salmonella enterica
Lineage: Bacteria; Pseudomonadati; Pseudomonadota; Gammaproteobacteria; Enterobacterales; Enterobacteriaceae
Also listed under: 2 other names
Description: RtT sRNA
Rfam family: RtT RNA
About the family: This family represents a bacterial cis-regulatory element known as RtT RNA. The exact function of RtT is unknown although it is thought that it may be involved in changing the cellular response in relation to amino acid starvation.
Source: RNAcentral